RNAcentral lists this long non-coding RNA (3394 nucleotides) under Rhinopithecus bieti (black snub-nosed monkey). RNAcentral describes it as "lncRNA (ENSRBIG00000046560.1)". Lineage: Eukaryota; Metazoa; Chordata; Mammalia; Primates; Cercopithecidae. The record is from RNAcentral.
AAUGCAGGUGUACCCUGUUGACUACUAAUGUUAUUGUCUUCACUUUCUGUAAUCAUUUUAGGACCUGCUCAGUGCUGUAGAAGCAAAACAAGCUCUUGAAAGGGAAGUUAAGAUCUUCCAAGAAAGGCUGCUUGCUGGCCAGCGGGUCUGGGAUGCCUCAAAGCAGGAGCUGAGCCUCCUGAAGCAAAGCUCUUCCGAGUUGGAGAAGAGUUUGAAGGCAAGUCGGGAUGCAGUCACAGCCUCACAAAGCCAGUACUCCUCAUUUACGGAGAAAAUUGCAGCCCUCCUUAGGGGCAGAUUGGGCACGACUGGGUCUACUGAGGACACCAUUUUGGAGAAGAUUCGAGAAAUGGGCAGCCAGGAAGAAAGCAGGGACCAGAUGGUCUCCCAGCUUGAAGCCCAAAUAUCUGAGCUUGUUGAACAGUUGGGAAAGGAGUCUGAGUUUCACCAGAAAGCUCUCCAGAGGGCCCAGAAAGCAGAGAAUAUGUUGGAGACUCUUCAGGGUCAGCUGACACACCUGGAGGCAGAGCUGGUUUCUGGAGAUGUUUUGCGAGACAACUUGAAUUUUGAGAAACAAAAAUAUCUUAAAUUUCUGGAUCAGCUUUCACAGAAAAUGAAGUUGGACCAGAUGGCUGCCGAACUUGGUUUUGACAUGCGGCUGGAUGUGGUUUUAGCUCGAACAGAGCAGCUGGUUCGUCUUGAGAGCAAUGCAGUCAUUGAGAAUAAGACCAUUGCCCACAAUUUGCAGAGAAAGCUAAAGACACAGAAAGAGAGACUGGAGAGCAAAGAACUACACAUGAGCUUCCUCCGGCAGAAAAUAGCCCAGCUGGAGGAGGAGAAGCAGGCACGCACGGCCUUGGUGGUUGAGAGGGACAACAUGCAUCUUACCAUCAGGAACCUGCAGAAGAAGGUGGAGAGGCUGCAGAAGGAGCUGAACACAUGUCGAGACUUGAACAUUGAGCUCAAAGCCAAACUGGCUGACACCAAUGAACUGAAGAUUAAAACUUUGGAACAAACUAAAGCCAUUGAAGAUCUAAACAAAUCCAGAGACCAGCUGGAGAAGAUGAAGGAGAAAGCUGAGAAAAAGCUCAUGUCUGUCAAGUCAGAACUGGAUACCACAGAACAUGAGGCUAAGGAGAAUAAAGAAAGGGCCAGAAACAUAAUAGAAGUGGUAACCAGUGAAAUGAAGACACUAAAAAAAUCUUUGGAAGAAGCAGAAAAGAGAGAAAAGCAGCUGGCAGACUUCAGGGAGGUGGUGUCCCAGAUGCUAGGCUUGAACCUGACCAGCCUUGCUCUUCCUGAUUACGAAAUCGUCAAGUGUCUUGAAAGACUGAUCCAUUCACAUCAGCAUCACUUUGUUACCUGUGCCUGCCUCAAAGAUGUGACUACCGGGCAAGAUAGGCACCCACAAGGCCAUUUACCACUUCUUCAUUGAACACUGUGUCUCUUGAGAGAGGUGGCCAUAAGAUAUGGGACACAAUUCCCAAUUUUACAGAUUCCUCAUGUCUUUGAGAUUUGAUCAGUUUGUGAAUAUUUUAUGCUUUGAUGAUAUAGUGAGAAUGCAUCACUUGCAAGAACGAUCUCAAAAGUGUCAGCUUUAGAUAAACACUCAGUGUUAAAAACGCCUAUGAUUUCAUUUACUAGCAUUUGGGGAUCCAGAAGAAUUCCACCAGAUUGCAUGAGUUAGAUUGGGAAAUGGGAGUGGGAGAUUAACAUUGGGGGUAUCUAUUUUAAGUCAGGGGCUUUACUAGCCAAUUUAGUUCUCAUAAUAACCAUGUAGAGAAGCUGUGACGUUUUUAUUUUACAACCUUUCUGGGGCUCAGACAUAGAGUUACCUAUCCAAGGUUGAGGUUGGGUAGUGGUGGAACCAGGAUGGACAACUUAUUGGCCCUGCCUCAAAGGCCAUGCCUCUUCUCCUGCUACACAGACUCGGCUUUUCCUGAAUCUCUAUGAUGCUGGUGGGAAUUGCUUGCAUAUAGGGAGAAAAAUACCCCUGCCAUCGAGAGUUAAUAUCUAGGCUGGACACGGUGGUUCACACCUGUAAUCCCAGCACUUUAGGAGGCCAAGGAGGGCAUAUCAUUUGAGGUCAGAAGUUUGAAACCAGCCUGGCCAACAUGAUGAGACCCUGUUUCUCCUAAAAAUACAAAAAAUUAGUCAGGUGUGGUGGUGCGUGCCUCUAAUCCCAGCUACUCAGCAGGAAAAGCACUUGAACCCAGGAGAUGGAGGCUGCAGUGAGCCAGGAUUGUGCCAUUGCACUCCAGCCUGGGCAACAGAGUGAGACUAUGUCUCAAAAAAAAAAAAAAAAAAAAAAAAAAAAAAAAAGAGUUAAUGUCCAUAAAUGACAGAUUUACAAGUGUAAGCUAUAUGAUUUCUUCAAAAAAGCAAAAGCAAUAUACUUAAUUCAUUUGGAUCAAACUUACAUAGGUUUCAGGUCCUGUAAGAAACUUGCCUGUUCUAACUGUUGCUUCCAGACUACAUCUGGUGGUAAUUGUUAAUGUUUCAGCAGGGCUGAUCUCAGUCCUUUAAAGUGGAAAGCUUUAUUGUGAGCCCAACCUUAUAAGAUGAAGAAAUCCCAUACAGUCUUAUUCACCAAUAUAUCCAAAACACCCACAGCAAUGGUACCUUUUUAAGAUCAGGAUUUUAUUAUGAAUUCCUGUCACUUUCUGUUUUCUAUUUAAAUUUCUAUUUUACAGAUUUUUCAGGGAAUCAUAUUCUUCACUGAGAAAAUGUGUUACUCUUUUGGACAAUUUAUCUUAUUUCUAACAUAUAAAAUGUAUUUUUUUAUUGUCCUUAAAAGAAGCUCUAGCAUGAAAUUAAAGGAGAGGGGAAAAAAUAGAUCUAGUGCACCCAAACAUUAGGAGAAAAUGAAAAAUAUACAGCCAACCGUUUGUGAGUCAUCAAAAAGUCAAAGUCAGCCUGGUCAACAUGGCAAAAAACCCAUCUCUACAAAAAAUACAAAAAUAAGCUCGGUGUGGUGGCAUGUGCCUGUAAUCCCAGCUACUCAAGAGGCUGAGACAUGAGAAUUGCUUGAACCCGGGAGGCGGAAGUUGCAAUGAGCCGAGAUCGUGCCACUGCACUCCAGCCUGGGCAAGAGAGAGAGACCUUGUCUCAAAAAACAAAACAAAAAAAGUCAAAGUCAUAAUAAGCAAAUUAUUGGCUUCUUUCUUGUAGACUAAAAGAAAUUAAAGAGAUGAAACAAUCAAUUGCAAGGGCUGAAACUAGAUUGGAUCUUGGUUUGAAUUUAAAAAAGCAUAAAAUAUUCUUGCAAUAGUUGUAAAAUUUGAAUGUGGACUAAGUCCUAGAUUAUAUUAAAAUAUUUAAAAUUUUUUCCUCUAGACUAAAAGAAAUUAAAGAAUUGAAACAAUCAAUUGCAAGGGCUGAAACUAGAUUGGAU